GAGUAGGGCGGGACACGUGGUAUCCUGUCUGAAUAUGGGGGGACCAUCCUCCAAGGCUAAAUACUCCUGACUGACCGAUAGUGAACCAGUACCGUGAGGGAAAGGCGAAAAGAACCCCGGCGAGGGGAGUGAAAAAGAACCUGAAACCGUGUACGUACAAGCAGUGGGAGCACGCUUAGGCGUGUGACUGCGUACCUUUUGUAUAAUGGGUCAGCGACUUAUAUUCUGUAGCAAGGUUAACCGAAUAGGGGAGCCGAAGGGAAACCGAGUCUUAACUGGGCGUUAAGUUGCAGGGUAUAGACCCGAAACCCGGUGAUCUAGCCAUGGGCAGGUUGAAGGUUGGGUAACACUAACUGGAGGACCGAACCGACUAAUGUUGAAAAAUUAGCGGAUGACUUGUGGCUGGGGGUGAAAGGCCAAUCAAACCGGGAGAUAGCUGGUUCUCCCCGAAAGCUAUUUAGGUAGCGCCUCGUGAAUUCAUCUCCGGGGGUAGAGCACUGUUUCGGCAAGGGGGUCAUCCCGACUUACCAACCCGAUGCAAACUGCGAAUACCGGAGAAUGUUAU
RNAcentral lists this ribosomal RNA (565 nucleotides) under Shigella sonnei. Its description in RNAcentral is "partial 23S ribosomal RNA". It matches the Rfam family "Bacterial large subunit ribosomal RNA", at positions 410 to 975 of the family's 2925-position model. Lineage: Bacteria; Pseudomonadati; Pseudomonadota; Gammaproteobacteria; Enterobacterales; Enterobacteriaceae. The record is from RNAcentral.